UACGUAGGGUGCAAGCGUUAAUCGGAAUACUGGGCGUAAAGCGUGCGCAGGCGGUUUUGUAAGUCUGACGUGAAAUCCCCGGGCUCAACCUGGGAAUUGCGUUGGAGACUGCAAGGCUAGAAUCUGGCAGAGGGGGUGAGAAUCCACGUGUAGCAGUGAAAUGCGUAGAGAUGUGGAGGAAUACCGAUGGCGAAGGCGGGGACCUGGCCCAACAUUGACACUUAGGCUCGAAAGCGUGGGGAUCAAACAGG
This 251-nucleotide ribosomal RNA is filed under the name uncultured bacterium. RNAcentral describes it as "partial 16S ribosomal RNA". It matches the Rfam family "Bacterial small subunit ribosomal RNA", at positions 524 to 776 of the family's 1533-position model. The record is from RNAcentral.